RNAcentral lists this ribosomal RNA (817 nucleotides) under uncultured bacterium. RNAcentral describes it as "bacterial SSU rRNA". It matches the Rfam family "Bacterial small subunit ribosomal RNA", at positions 1 to 814 of the family's 1533-position model. The record is from RNAcentral.
UAGAGUUUGAUCCUGGCUCAGGAUGAACUCUAGCUACAGGCUUAACACAUGCAAGUCGAGGGGCAGCAUGAACUUAGCUUGCUAAGUUUGAUGGCGACCGGCGCACGGGUGCGUAACGCGUAUCCAACUUUCCCGUUACUCAGGUAUAGCCUUGCGAAAGUAAGAUUAAUCCCUGAUGACAUGUUAAAGUUGCAUGACUAUGACAUUAAAGAUUUAUCGGUAACGGAUAGGGAUGCGUUCCAUUAGGUAGUUGGUGAGGUAACGGCUCACCAAGCCCGCGAUGGAUAGGGGUUCUGAGAGGAAGGUCCCCCACACUGGAACUGAGACACGGUCCAGACUCCUACGGGAGGCAGCAGUGAGGAAUAUUGGUCAAUGGUCGGAAGACUGAACCAGCCAAGUAGCGUGAGGGAUGACUGCCCUAUGGGUUGUAAACCUCUUUUAUAUGGGAAUAAAAAGGUCUACGUGUAGGCCAUUGUAUGUACCUUAUGAAUAAGCAUCGGCUAAUUCCGUGCCAGCAGCCGCGGUAAUACGGAAGAUGCGAGCGUUAUCCGGAUUUAUUGGGUUUAAAGGGAGCGUAGGCGGACUUUUAAGUCAGCGGUAAAAUCGUGCGGCUCAACCGUGCCCUGCCGUUGAAACUGGAAGUCUUGAGUGUACACAGGGCAGGUGGAAUUUGUGGUGUAGCGGUGAAAUGCUUAGAUAUCACGAGGAACUCCGAUCGCGAAGGCAUCCUGCCGGGGUACGACUGACGCUGAGGCUCGAAAGUGUGGGUAUCAAACAGGAUUAGAUACCCUGGUAGUCCACACGGUAAACGAUGAAU